This is a small nucleolar RNA of Trypanosoma theileri, 66 nucleotides long. It matches the Rfam family "Trypanosomatid snoRNA TB10Cs4H4". The record is from Rfam. NCBI's taxonomy places the organism in Eukaryota, Euglenozoa, Kinetoplastea, Trypanosomatida, Trypanosomatidae.
GAGGAGGCCCGUAGCCACGGUGCUAUGCCUGUUUAGUGGCGUACUGUGGGUGGUGGUUCUCCAAGA